UCGGUCCCGGUUCACGGACGGCAGUCCGCCCUUCCGACCCGGAACC
Streptacidiphilus jiangxiensis is the source of this 46-nucleotide regulatory RNA element. It matches the Rfam family "L31-Actinobacteria ribosomal protein leader". The record is from Rfam. NCBI's taxonomy places the organism in Bacteria, Bacillati, Actinomycetota, Actinomycetes, Kitasatosporales, Streptomycetaceae.